UUUGCCUACGGGAGGCAGCAGUGAGGAAUAUUGGUCAAUGGGCGGGAGCCUGAACCAGCCAAGUCGCGUGAGGGAAGACGGUCCUAUGGAUUGUAAACCUCUUUAGGCGGGGAGCAAUGCCGGGCACGCGUGUCCGGAGGGAGAGUACCCGCAGAAUAAGCAUCGGCUAACUCCGUGCCAGCAGCCGCGGUAAUACGUAGGGGGCUAGCGUUAUCCGGAAUUACUGGGCGUAAAGGGUGCGUAGGUGGUUUCUUAAGUCAGAGGUGAAAGGCUACGGCUCAACCGUAGUAAGCCUUUGAAACUGG
RNAcentral lists this ribosomal RNA (305 nucleotides) under uncultured bacterium. Its description in RNAcentral is "bacterial SSU rRNA". It matches the Rfam family "Bacterial small subunit ribosomal RNA", at positions 334 to 636 of the family's 1533-position model. The record is from RNAcentral.